CACAGCUGUGUACAAAGUAUUGUAUCUGAUGUAACCAUAUCUAUUCAUAUUUUUUUCAUGUUGAUAUAUUACUAACCCACUGCCAAGCAGGACCUCUGUCUAAGUGAGGGGGAGAAAUUGAAUGCAUUGAGGUCAAGCUGUAACAUGUGAAGUGGACACAGCCUAUUGAAGCCACUGAGAACAGGAGCGGGAGCAGCUUCCUUCCCCGGCCUAAUACUUAAUGUAUGGCUUCCAUGUCUGCCCUAGAGGCAAAAGAAGAUUUCUUUACUGAGAUGCAAUCAGCUCUGGCCAAUCAGUAAUAAGGGUUAAUCAGCUGAUCGAUUGGUCCCUGAACAGCUUGGCCCUGGCUCCUUUCUGACUGGCCCUGGCCUGGCCUUCGGGCAAGAGGUUGGGAACUUUUAAUUAGCAGCAGCAGCAGCCACAGCAACUCUGCUGGCUGAAUGGUCAAUGGGUUCGCCACUGAGGCUGCUUGGCUUGAAUAAUAAUAGAACUCCACAGGAGAGAGAGCCAAAGCAAGAGGACAACAAAGACACUCGGUGAGAUGGAGCAUCAGAAGAUAAGGGGAGAACUGCCCACAACAGAACUCGCCAAAGACAUGUUUGGGGUUGGGUGCCCUUUGUCACUGCACCGCCACAAUUGUUGAAACUGUUGACCUGCACAAAACAAUACAUAACCUGUUUCUAUGUCCAGGGAGGAAUGUGUAUUGCAUACAAGGUGGCCAUUACUUGAAGCAACAUGGAAUGGAAAAUUCUACCAAGAAAACUGGUUUCUGACUUCAGUAACAUGAGAAAACAAAUGAGGGGGGUAAAGGGAGGUCAUGUCACUUUAGGGCUGAAUAUGUCAAAGACCAGCAAUGGCUUUUUCAAGCCUUCCAUUUAAUAAAUUAUCCAAAUAGAAGGAGAAAACGUGGAGGCAGUGACAGACUUUAUAUUUCUAGGCGCGAAGAUCACUGCAGAUGCAGACUGCAUCCAGGAAAUCAGAAGACGUUUACUUCUUGGGAGGAGAGCAAUGGCCAACCUUGACAAAAUAGUGAAGAGCAGAGACAUCACACUGACAACGAAGGUCCGCAUAGUCAAAGCAAUGGUAUUCCCCGUAGUAACUUAUGGAUGCAAGAGCUGGACCAUAAGGAAGGCUGAGCGAAGGAAGAUAGACGCUUUUGAACUCUGGUGCUGGAGGAAAAUCCUGAGAGUGCCUUGGACUGCAAGAAGAUCCAACCAGUCCAUCCUCCAGGAGAUAAUGCCCGGCUGCUCACUGGAGGGAAGGAUAUUAGAGGCAAAGCUGAAGUAUUUUGGCCACAUCAUGAGGAGACAGGAAAGCUUGGAAAAGGUCACGAUGCUGGAGAAAAUGGAAGGAAAAAGGAAGAGAGGUCGACCAAGGGCAAGAUGGAUAGACGGUAUCCUUGAAGUGACUGGCUUGACCUUGAAGGAACUGGGGGUGGCAAUGGCCGAAAGGGAGCUCUGGCGUGGACUGGUCCAUGAGGUCACAAAGAGUAGGAGACAACUAAACGACUGAGCAGCAGCAGCAGCAAGAUAUGGUUUUUUAAAAAAUGAUAUGUUGUUGUUAUGUGCCUUCAAGUUGUUUUUAGCUUAUGAUGGCCUAAGAUGAACCUUUCACAGGGUUUUCUGGGGCUUUUUUUAAUUUUGUAAGAAGCAACUUGAGAACAUACUGCAAACUGCUUCUGGUGUGAGAGAAUUGGCAGUCUACAGAGACAUUGCCCGAGGGAUGCCCGGAUGUGUUACUGGGAGGUGUCUCUCAUGUCCCCACAAGCUAGAGCUGACAAAUAGAAGCUUACCCCAUCUCGAGGGUUCGAACUAGGAAACUUCAGGUCAGCAACCCAAUCUUCAGGUUAGCAGUUCACUGAGAGUGUGCAACUUGCCUGAAGUCACCCAGUGGGUUUCCAUGACUAAGUGAGGGAUUGAACCCUGGUAUCCACAGAGUAGUCCAACAGAGUAUUUCAACACCAGGCAGCCUCUUUUUAAUUUCAGGUUAAAAAACCUAUAUUCAACCUAAAAUUAAAAAUGGCAACAUACUCAAAUACUGAAUAGAUGGUUCUGAUAAAGCUUGAUUUCAGGUCCACUGGUGAUGGUGUUAUGUGCCCUCAAGGAGACGCCAACUAGUGUUUUUUACAAGAUUUCCUCUGAGACCUCUUCCACAAAACUGAAUAAAAUACCACAUUAUCUGCUUUGAACUAGAAUAUAUGGCAGUGUGGACUCAGAUACCCCAGUCAAAGCAGAUAUUGUGGGAUUUUCUGCCUUGAUAUUUUGGGUUAUAUGGCUGUAUGGAAGGGCCCUGAGGCUGGAAGAGUAUGAUUUGCUCAAGGUCACCCAAUGAGUUUCCAUUCCUAAGGAGGGGUUUGAACCCUGAUCUCCUGAAAUCUUAGUCUACCAUGCACUACAUUUCCCUCUUUGCAUGAACAGGUUCAGUGCAUAUUACACUGAUAGAUUAGAGCAUUUGCACCUGGUUUUCAGAGUUAAUAUGGUAUGACAUGUUGGGUCAACACUCAUGCAAUGCAAAUCCAAAUUGCCACUGACCCACAAAACUUAUUGAGAGAUCUUGAGCCAACUUUUUUUCACAAACUGUUUUACCUCAUAAAUUUGUUAUGAAGAUAAAAAAAAAUAUUGGUAAAGACAGUUAUGUAUGUUGCCUUCAGCUCAUGGGAAGUUUGCCCAUCUGCAAUAAUUCUAUACACAACAUCAUCUUUUUUAAAUUUUGGUGUAUUGGGAGGCAGAGGGGCAUUCACACACUCAACACAAUUUUAUGCUUUACAUGUUUAGACAAAUGUCUAUUGUUGGUGAGAAAGAUCAAUUUAAAACCUGAUGUUUUCAAUUUAUACCUACUACUGGCAAAUUAUCUGUAUAUGUAAUGUAACAUUAGAUUAAUUUAUUGCUUACUAUGUAAUGUUAAGAUACAGUGGAACAGUUUGACUAAAAGAUGAACAUUAUGAAACCCCAGUACUUUUGACAGUUUAGCACAUGCUUAAAUGUCUCUCAUUGUAAACAAUGUGCUUUAGAAUGAGUUGUAACUGAGGGGUGAAUUUUUUUGUACUGCAGGUUCGCAAAAAAUGAAUGCUCCCCUGUGACAAAAAAGAUAUAUUUUAGUCUCUAUCAGAGCUUGGGGAGGGGUACUGGUGGGAAUUUGUUUUCAUGUCAGGAGUGACUUGAGAAACUCCAAGUCGCUUCUGGUGUGAGAGAAUUGGCCAUCUGCAAGGACGUUACCCAGGGGGUGCCCGGAUGUUUUGAUGUUUUACCAUCCUUGUGGGAGGUUUCUCUCAUGUCCCUGCAUGGAGUUGGAGCUCAUAGAAGGAGCUCGUCCGCACUUUCCCCGGGUUGGAUUCGAACCGACAACCUUCAGGUCAGCAACCCAACAUUCAAGUCUUCAGUCUUGCCAGCAUAAGGGUUUAACCCACUGCAUCACCGGGGCAUCACUGGCUGGCAUCACUGGGUUGCUGUGAGUUUUCUGGGCUGUAUGGCCAUGAUCCAGAAGCAUUCUCUCCUGAUGUUUCACCCACAUCUAUGGCAGGCAUCCUCAGAGGUUGUGAGAUAUAUUGGAAACUAAGUCAGUGAGGUUAAUAUAUCUGUAGAUGGACGACCUAGAGAAGCUAUUGAAAUCCACAAGCAUGGUGACAAUUUCAACAGAAAGGAGGAAAUCAUGAACAAAAUCUGGCUACCAGUAUUUUUUAAAACCUCUAAAAUCAGGACAGACGAUAAAUAACAACACUCUGAAAACAGGGGACUUCCAGACAUGAAACAAUCAGGGCCGGCUAACACCUCCCAACAAAGGAUUCCCUCUGACAAGAAUCAGCCAGGCUUUGAAGCUGCAAGGCUUUUCAAUACUAAUCAAGGUGAUUAAUUGCAACAUUCACACUGGCCUCCAACAGACAAGAGUUCUUUCUCCCACCCUGGACCUUCCACAGAUAUAUAAACCCCACUUGCCUGGUUUCCAACAGACCACACAACCUCUGAUGAUGCCUGCCAUAAAUGUGAGUGAAAUGUCAGGAAAGAAUGCUUCUGGAACAUGGCCAUACAUCUUGGAAAACUCACAACAACCCAUUAUAGGAGUUGUAGCCCACAGACUCCUGGAGGGUCACAUUUGAACCCACCCCUAGACUUAUUAGUGUGGCAUUUCAGGGGCAGAAAUAAAUGUAGAGAGCAGAUCUUUGAACAAACCAUGCAUUUUCUCUAACUUACUUGUAGAUGAUCUAACAUUUCUUUACUUGUUGAAUAUACUAUGCACUUUCACUAGGUUUAUCUAAAUAACAAAUCUCAGUGUUGGUUUGAUUUGACAUGUAUUCCCCAAAAGAAUCCUGGAAUUGCAGUUUUUUAAGUGUCGAUAGGAUUCUAUCCUCGGGCUUGCUGCAUCUCAUGCUGUAAUUUCCAUGGUGUUUGGAAAAGCAGAAUAAAUGCUAAACCUUCUUAAGCCAGUGUUAAGUCCAAUAUUAUGCAAGCUGACCUUUCUCAUCUCCACUCUGUAGCCCUCUCCUCCAUUAUCCACACCCAAGAUGCGCUCUAGGCAUUCAUCCAAUCCUCUGGAGCAAAUGUGGGGAUACAGGUUGCAGCCUGCAGGCUUUGGUGAGGAGAGGACAUCUGAUCCACCAGGAAUGAUCCAUCAUACCUUGAUCCAUUCUGCUGGCAAAAACUGUGAAUAUAACCCAUAUAACAUAAUUAUACCAUAAAAGAGCAUUAGUCUCUACCUGUAAAAAUGCAAUACGUCCCACAUUAUAUUGCCUAUGGCUAUUGCAGAUGCCAUAUGAAUUUGUGAGCAUAACAUGCUAAUUCAAAAUUCUAGGUGUUGUGGCUAGAUUAAAAUGACAUCAUUAUCAUGGAAUAUUUUGUACCAUUUGGCGACCUUGCCUCCUCAAUUUUAUUUUUUGAUCUUCAAGCUGUGCAUCUUGAAGGGCUGAUCCAGCGUUGGAAUACAUAAACAGAACUGAACAAGUACAUGUAGAUACUGCUCAUUUCUAUGUGAGCAAUUUAAGUAUGCACUGAAUUUUAGUUGAAUUAUGUCUAGCUGGUUUCUGUUUGUUUGUUUUUAAUGUAGUGUUGAGCAGCAAAUGUGUGUUCUUCCUCUUUUAUAUUUAAUUCUUGGGACCUACUGCAUUACUGAGUAAGGUUUUUUAAUGGAGGAGAAGAUAAAGACGAAUACAGUUGUACCCCUUUCUGCAUUUCAAAUGUGUGAAUUGCUGAGUUGGGGCUUGAAGGUAUGUUGUGCAAUAAAUGAAACAGAGGACCAA
Long non-coding RNA from Anolis carolinensis (green anole), 5230 nucleotides. RefSeq lists it as uncharacterized. NCBI's taxonomy places the organism in Eukaryota, Metazoa, Chordata, Lepidosauria, Squamata, Anolidae. The transcript has 2 exons. The record is from RefSeq and is a predicted model, not a curated record.